GGUUGGCUAUAACUAUCAUUUCCAAGGUUGUGCUUUUAGGAAAUGUUGGCUGUCCUGCGGAGAGAGAAUGGGGAGCCAGG
Molecule: microRNA precursor, 80 nt
Organism: Gorilla gorilla gorilla (western lowland gorilla)
Lineage: Eukaryota; Metazoa; Chordata; Mammalia; Primates; Hominidae
Source: Ensembl